UCCCUCUGGCUCUCAAAAUUCCUCCUCUUCUGCCGUCGCCGUCACUGCCCCUGCCCGUUGUCCUCGGCCACCACCCAGCCCUUGGUCGGCCUCCACCCACCUCAUCGUCGGAUUCUCUCUCUAACCCUACUUUUCUCUUCUAAUCCUAAGUUCCUCUUUUCUCUCCUCAUUCUCUCCCUUCCUCCGAACUAGCCUCCUCUCUCUCCUCAUUACCUGAGUUGGUGAACAUCUAAGGACGGGAACAGCUAAUCUUCCGAUCUGCUGCGACAUUCACCACGUAAGCUCCGCAUCUGCCGAUCUGCUUCCAGAUUUGGGCCUCUGUAAAUUAACCCGUGAAGAAAUCCAUUUUCGUUUCUAGACGAAUAUCAUUAUUUUGCUUCCAGACUUGGGGUUUUCUUGCAGUGUUGCGCGCCCAAGUUUGCUUCCAGAUUUUUGGAAAUUUAUUCUCCACAUAUGGGCCCUGAUUUAGAGCUCCAAGGAAAGUCGAAAGCUGCUAUAAUUUUCAGUUAGUAAGGACAACGUAAUCGCCCCUGAAGGCUCAGAAGAAAAACUUCUGCAAUGUGCAAGUAAUUGUGAGGACAACACCUUUGGCGUGGAAGAAUUAUUAGUCGAGCGAGCUGGUGAACAUGAUGGAAUUGAGAAUAUGGAGCUUAAUAUAACUGACAUUAUUGAUACAAUUGAUGCUAUACCGGUUAAAGGUGAAUGCGAAGAUGUGACUGAGCAUUCAAGUUCUUUUGGUGGUAGAGAAUCCAGGACAGAGAGUGGCUUGAUGUUGACUGAUGACGAAAUUGAGUCACACGUGUGUGCAAGUAAUGCAUCACUAUAUGAUGGAUACUUUGAUGCCUUUCAAAUAAGGAAGAAAAAGUUAACUGUUCAUUGGAGGAAGUUUAUACAUCCUCUUAUGUGGCGCUGUAAAUGAAUAGAACUUCAAAUUAAGGAGCUUCAGUCCCAGGCACUAAAGUAUGAUAGAGAACUUGUGGUAUAUGAUCAAAGAAAGCAGUUUGAAUUUGAAAACUUCACCUUAGAAGGUUUUGAUGCAAAGUCUCUACCCUUUUCCAGACAACUUAGAAAUAAGGUCAUGACGAGGAAGAAAAGAAAGAGAGUUGAAGAGACGGCUGAUGUCACGCCAUAUAUAUCACAACAUAACCUGUUCUCCUACUAUGAAAGUAAGAGGUCUAUUGCUGAUGGUGCUCCUAUAGAAGGUUAUUGUGGUAAUCUAGAUAAGAUUGCUAAUGGCAGUAAUGAGUUUGGGAUAAAUGAUGGAUGGUCAUCUCAUGAAUUUGGAAAUGGUGAUAAUUCAUUGGAACAGAUUCUCUGGAAGAUUGAAGUGGCACAUUCUCAAGUUCGCAAGCUGAAGACCCAAAUUGACAAGGUGAUCAUUGAAAAUCCUGGAAAGUUCUGUUCCAUAAAUAAGUUGAGCUUACCUGUACCAUCUGAAGCUUGACCCGUUCUGAUCAAAGUCCUGCCUCUCCUCCUGAUAAUGGACAUAGAUUGCCAGCUAAAUCUCCAUUUACUUCUCGGCUUAUAUCUGAGGGUAGCAUGGGAGAUGUACCUAUGUUUGAAAGUGCAGUUUUCAGUCUUGGGGAGGCAAACCCUCUUUCUAAUAUAAUUGAAAGCAUUGACCAGUCUCAGAAGGAAGGAAUUCUGAUACAUAAUCAGGCUGCCAAGGAAGAGUUGGAUGAUUUUGGUGAAGUCAGAGGUUGGCUCAUAGAGAAGCCUCAGGUACCGCUGGAAGAGCAGACAACCAUUCCUCAAGACCUGCCCGCAGAGACAGCGAUACCCAAGGUUCAAUCUAAUGUAAAAUCACGUUCCCCUUCCAAGUCAAGUUUCCCUCGGCACACAAGAAGACGGGGGCGGAGAAAAGCUGGCUGAAAGAGGUGGAGCAGGAGAUCUUUAGGUUAGCUGGAUUUUACAAGCCAAUAUAGUUUUUUUCUUAUUUGUUCUAGGGAUGAAAAACCAAAAUAUUCAAAAAGGAUGUCAACAGCCUCCGUUGCUCUUCAGAAUUCGUAUAUGCUGCUUAUUUUGCAGUUUUACUGUAUAUCUUCUCCCUCUCUCUUGUAGCAUUGAUUUCAAAUAUAAUGUAAGCACUAUUAAUCUGUUUGGAUUUGAA
This is an RNA transcript of Juglans regia (Persian walnut), 2110 nucleotides long. RefSeq lists it as uncharacterized. The transcript is spliced from 6 exons. The record is from RefSeq and is a predicted model, not a curated record. NCBI's taxonomy places the organism in Eukaryota, Viridiplantae, Streptophyta, Magnoliopsida, Fagales, Juglandaceae.